RNAcentral lists this ribosomal RNA (468 nucleotides) under uncultured bacterium. Its description in RNAcentral is "partial 16S ribosomal RNA". It matches the Rfam family "Bacterial small subunit ribosomal RNA", at positions 28 to 507 of the family's 1533-position model. The record is from RNAcentral.
GACGAACGCUGGCGGCGUGCUUAACACAUGCAAGUCGAACGGAAAGGCCCUGCUUUUGUGGGGUGCUCGAGUGGCGAACGGGUGAGUAACACGUGAGUAACCUGCCCUUGACUUUGGGAUAACUUCAGGAAACUGGGGCUAAUACCGGAUAGGAGCUCCUGCUGCAUGGUGGGGGUUGGAAAGUUUCGGCGGUUGGGGAUGGACUCGCGGCUUAUCAGCUUGUUGGUGGGGUAGUGGCUUACCAAGGCUUUGACGGGUAGCCGGCCUGAGAGGGUGACCGGCCACAUUGGGACUGAGAUACGGCCCAGACGCCUACGGGAGGCAGCAGUGGGGAAUAUUGCACAGUGGGCGGAAGCCUGAUGCAGCAACGCCGCGGGCGGGAUGACGGCCUUCGGGUUGUAAACCGCUUUCGCCUGUGACGAAGCGUGAGUGACGGUAAUGGGUAAAGAAGCACCGGCUAACUACGUG